UACGUAGGGGGCAAGCGUUGUCCGGAGUCAUUGGGCGUAAAGAGCGUGUAGGCGGCCCGAUAAGUCCGCCGUGAAAGUCCAGGGCUCAACCCUGGAAUGCCGGUGGAAACUGUCGGGCUCGAGUCCGGAAGAGGCGAGUGGAAUUCCUGGUGUAGCGGUGAAAUGCGCAGAUAUCAGGAGGAACACCAAUGGCGAAGGCAGCUCGCUGGGACGGUACUGACGCUGAGACGCGAAAGCGUGGGGAGCAAACAGG
RNAcentral lists this ribosomal RNA (253 nucleotides) under uncultured bacterium. RNAcentral describes it as "partial 16S ribosomal RNA". It matches the Rfam family "Bacterial small subunit ribosomal RNA", at positions 524 to 776 of the family's 1533-position model. The record is from RNAcentral.